Molecule: transfer RNA, 66 nt
Filed under: Escherichia coli
Lineage: Bacteria; Pseudomonadati; Pseudomonadota; Gammaproteobacteria; Enterobacterales; Enterobacteriaceae
Description: tRNA-Gln
Source: RNAcentral
GGGUAUCGCCAAGCGGUAAGGCACCGGUUUUUGAUACCGGCAUUCCCUGGUUCGAAUCCCGUCGUA